CAAAAGUUAAACACUUGGGGAAACGGACUCGCCUUUCGGGCUCGAGGCCUGACUCCAUUUGUAACAAACUUUCAACCAACUUGUGAAUUGUAACAAAUUUUCUCACCAAUUGACUGUUAACGAAGUCUGAUUCAAAUUGUAUUGGUGUUUAUGACACUAGUAAAAUAUGAAA
This 172-nucleotide unclassified non-coding RNA is filed under the name soil metagenome. RNAcentral describes it as "partial internal transcribed spacer 1". The record is from RNAcentral.